Molecule: ribosomal RNA, 1466 nt
Filed under: metagenome
Description: bacterial SSU rRNA
Rfam family: Bacterial small subunit ribosomal RNA
Source: RNAcentral
AGAGUUUGAUCCUGGCUCAGGAUGAACGCUGGCGGCGUGCCUAAUACAUGCAAGUCGAACGAGGGGUCUUGUCGUAAGAUGAGACAUUCCGAGUGGCGAACGGGUGAGUAACACGUAGACGAUCUGCCCUGAAGAGGGGGAUAACGUUCCGAAAGGGAUGCUAAUACCCCAUAAGCUCACGGGAAUUAGAAAGCUGUGAGAAAAGGGAGCAAUUCGCUUCAGGAGGGGUCUGCGGUCCAUCAGGUAGUUGGCGGGGUAACGGCCCACCAAGCCGAAGACGGAUAGGGGGCCUGAGAGGGUGGUCCCCCACACGGGCACUGAGAGACGGGCCCGACUCCUACGGGAGGCAGCAGUAAGGGAUAUUGCGCAAUGGGCGAAAGCCUGACGCAGCUACGCCGCGUGCCCGAUGAAGGCCUUCGGGUCGUAAAGGGCUUUUCUGGCUGAAGAGGAAGGACGGUAAGCCAGGAAAAAGUGUCGGCUAACUACGUGCCAGCAGCCGCGGUAAAACGUAGGACGCGAGCGUUAUCCGGAGUUACUGGGCGUAAAGGGCGGGCAGGCGGCCUGGCAAGAUGGGUGUGAAAUCUCCCGGCUCAACCGGGAGGGGCCACUCGUGACUGCGAGGCUAGAGGGCGACAGAGGAGCGUGGAAUUCCGGGUGGAGUGGUGAAAUGCGUAGAGAUCCGGAGGAACACCAGAGGCGAAGGCGGCGCUCUGGGUCGCGCCUGACGCUGAACCGCGAAAGCCAGGGUAGCGAACGGGAUUAGAAACCCCGGUAGUCCUGGCCGUAAACGAUGUCCACUGGGCGUGGGUAUGGAAGCAUAUCCGGGCCGGAGCGAACGCGCUAAGUGGACCGCCUGGGGAGUACGACCGCAAGGUUAAAACUCAAAGGAAUUGACGGGGGCCCGCACAAGCAGCGGAGCGUGUGGUUUAAUUCGAUUCAACGCGAAGAACCUUACCCGGGUUUGACAUUCAAGUGGUAGCGAGCGGAAACGUGAGCGACCCGCAAGGGAGCUUGAACAGGUGCUGCAUGGCUGUCGUCAGCUCGUGCCGUGAGGUGUUAGGUUAAGUCCUGUAACGAGCGCAACCCCUGCUGCCAGUUACAAGUGUCUGGCGGGACUGCCGGCGUGAAGCUGGAGGAAGGUGGGGAUGACGUCAAGUCAGCAUGGCCUUUAUGUCCGGGGCGACACACACGCUACAAUGGCCGGCACAAAGGGACGCCAAGCCGCGAGGCGGAGCGAAUCUCACAAAGCCGGUCUUAGUUCGGAUUGCAGGCUGCAACUCGCCUGCAUGAAGCUGGAGUUGCUAGUAACUGCCGGUCAGCCACACGGCGGUGAAUACGUUCCCGGGCCUUGUACACACCGCCCGUCACGUCAUGGGAGCUGGCAACACCUGAAGUCGGUGCGCUAACUGCAAAGAAGCAGCCGCCGAAGGUGGGGCUGGUGGCUGGGACGAAGUCGUAACAAGGUA